AGGGCGCAGGGCGGAUGCCUUGGCACCAGGAGCCGAAGAAGGACGUGAUAAGCUGCGAAAAGCUGCGGGGAGGAGCAAAUAUCCAUUGAUCCGCAGGUAUCCGAAUGGGGAAACCCGGCAGAAAGAACUUCUGUCACCGUAUGAUGAAUCCAUAGUCAUACGGAGGGAACCCGGCGAACUGAAACAUCUAAGUAGCCGGAGGAAGAGGAAGAAACAUCGAAUCCCUAAGUAGUGGCGAGCGAAAGGGGACGAAGCCCAAACCAAGGAUUUAUCCUUGGGGUUGAGGACCACAUACGAAGAAGCAGUAGGUAGCAGAACGGUUUUGGGAAAGCCGGCCAAAGAGAGUGAAAGCCUCGUAUGCGAAACAGACUGUGAUUCAGUGGUAUCCGGAGUACUACGGGACACGAGAAACCCCGUAGGAAGCAGGGGGGACCACCCCCCAAGGCGAAAUACUACCUGGUGACCGAUAGAGUAUAGUACCGUGAGGGAAAGGUGAAAAGAACCCCGGGAGGGGAGUGAAAGAGAACCUGAAACCCUGUGUCUACAAGCUGCGGAAGAGCGACUAACGCUCGACCGUGUACUUUUUGUAGAACGGUCCGGCGAGUUGCCGUUGCUGGCAGGUUAAGUACUUAAGGUACGGAGCCGAAGGGAAACCAAGUCUUAAUAGGGCGGUAAGUCAGUAACGGCAGACCCGAAACCGGGUGACCUACCCAUGGCCAGGAUGAAGUCUGCGUAAAAGUGGAUGGAGGUCCGAACACACGUCUGUUGAAAAAGGCGGUGAUGAGCUGUGGGUAGCGGAGAAAUUCCAAUCGAACUCGGAGAUAGCUGGUUCUCCCCGAAAUAGCUUUAGGGCUAGCCUCGGUAUAGUCUAAUGGAGGUAGAGCACUGAAUCGCUGCGGGGGCGUCAAAGUCUACCAAUGCGUAUCAAACUCCGAAUGCCAUAUAGAUGUUUACCGGGAGUCAGACUGUAUGAGAUAAGUCGGACAGUCAAAAGGGAAACAGCCCAGACCAUCUGCUAAGGUCCCAAAGUGUAUGUUAAGUGGUAAAGGAUGUGGGGUUUCGAAGACAACUAGGAUGUUGGCUCAGAAGCAGCCAUUCAUUCAAAGAGUGCGUAAUAGCUCACUAGUCGAGAGGUCCUGCGCCGAAAAUGUCCGGGGCUGAAACAUAACACCGAAGCAAUGGAAUAUACCGUAAGGUAUGUUGGUAGGGGAGCAUUGAUAACACGAAGAAGCGGUACCGUAAGGAGCCGUGGAGAGUUAUCAAGAGAGAAUGCCGGAAUGAGUAGCGAGAUGAAGGUGAGAAUCCUUCAGGCCGUAUAUCCAAGGUUUCCAGGGUAAAGCUGAUCUUCCCUGGGGAAGUCGGGACCUAAGCUCAGGCUGAGAAGCGUAGGCGAUGGACAACUGGUUGAUAUUCCAGUACCUCUGGCUAUCAGAAAUGUGGGGACACGGAGAUUCAGGGAGUGCCUGUAAAGGAUUCAGGUGCAAGCAUGGUUUAUGCCGGGCAGGCAAAUCCGUCCGGGUAAGUGAACUGUGUGAUGCGGACCGAAAUAUAAGUAGGGAAGCUCCUGGGAGAGCCGUCGAGAAAAGCCGCUAUUGUGUAGUCAGAGCCCGUACCGUAAACCGACACAGGUGGAUGGGGAGAGUAUCCCAAGGCCGGCGGGAGAAGCAUUGUUAAGGAACUCGGCAAAAUGGCCCCGUAAGUUCGCGAUAAGGGGUGCCUGUAGAGAUACAGGCCGCAGAGAAUAGGCUCAAGCAACUGUUUAGCAAAAACACAGGUCUAUGCGAAACCGUAAGGUGAUGUAUAUGGGCUGACGCCUGCCCGGUGCUGGAAGGUUACGGGGAGUGCUUAGGAGUAAUCCGAAGGUACGAACUUAAGCCCCAGUAAACGGCGGCCGUAACUAUAACGGUCCUAAGGUAGCGAAAUUCCUUGUCGGGUAAGUUCCGACCCGCACGAAAGGCGUAAUGAUUUGAGCGCUGUCUCAACAAUGCACCCGGUGAAAUUGAAGUACCAGUGAAGAUGCUGGUUACCUGCGCCAAGACGGAAAGACCCCAUGGAGCUUUACUCCAUCUUGGUACUGGGAUUAGAUAUAUGAUGUACAGGAUAGGUGGGAGACUAAGAAGCAGGGACGCCAGUUUCUGCGGAGUCAAUGUUGGGAUACCACCCUUCGUGUAUCUGGUUUCUAACCUUUGCCCGUUAUCCGGGCAGGGGACAAUGCCAGGAGGGGAGUUUGACUGGGGCGGUCGCCUCCGAAAGUGUAUCGGAGGCGCUCAAAGGUUCCCUCAGAAUGGUUGGAAACCAUUCGAAGA
RNAcentral lists this ribosomal RNA (2306 nucleotides) under human metagenome. RNAcentral's name for it is "bacterial LSU rRNA". It matches the Rfam family "Bacterial large subunit ribosomal RNA", at positions 14 to 2348 of the family's 2925-position model. The record is from RNAcentral.